RNAcentral lists this transfer RNA (72 nucleotides) under Trichobilharzia regenti. It matches the Rfam family "tRNA". From Rfam's summary of the family: Transfer RNA (tRNA) molecules are approximately 80 nucleotides in length. Lineage: Eukaryota; Metazoa; Platyhelminthes; Trematoda; Strigeidida; Schistosomatidae. The record is from Rfam by way of RNAcentral.
GGCUCAGUGUUCUAGGCGUAUGAUACUCGCUUCGGGUGCUAGUGGUCCCGGGUUCAACUCCCGGCUGAGCCC